UACAGAGGCCCCAAGCGUUACUGAGAAUCACUGGGUUUAAAGGGUGCGUAGGUGGCGCGUUAAGUCCGUUGUGAAAUCCCUGGGCUCAACCUAGGAACUGCUUCGGAUACUGGCGCGCUUGAGGCCGGUAGGGGUCACUGGAACUGACGGUGGAGCGGUGAAAUGCGUAGAUAUCGUCAGGAACGCCGAUGGUGAAGACAGGUGACUGGGCCGGAACUGACACUGAGGCACGAAAGCGUGGGGAG
RNAcentral lists this ribosomal RNA (245 nucleotides) under uncultured bacterium. RNAcentral's name for it is "partial 16S ribosomal RNA". It matches the Rfam family "Bacterial small subunit ribosomal RNA", at positions 524 to 768 of the family's 1533-position model. The record is from RNAcentral.